GGUGAACGCUGGCGGCGUGCCUAAUACAUGCAAGUCGAGCGAACGGACGAGAAGCUUGCUUCUCUGAUGUUAGCGGCGGACGGGUGAGUAACACGUGGAUAACCUACCUAUAAGACUGGGAUAACUUCGGGAAACCGUAGCUAAUACCGGAUAAUAUUUUGAACCGCAUGGUUCAAAAGUGAAAGACGGUCUUGCUGUCACUUAUAGAUGGAUCCGCGCUGCAUUAGCUAGUUGGUAAGGUAACGGCUUACCAAGGCAACGAUGCAUAGCCGACCUGAGAGGGUGAUCGGCCACACUGGAACUGAGACACGGUCCAGACUCCUACGGGAGGCAGCAGUAGGGAAUCUUCCGCAAUGGGCGAAAGCCUGACGGAGCAACGCCGCGUGAGUGAUGAAGGUCUUCGGAUCGUAAAACUCUGUUAUUAGGGAAGAACAUAUGUGUAAGUAACUGUGCACAUCUUGACGGUACCUAAUCAGAAAGCCACGGCUAACUACGUG
This 497-nucleotide ribosomal RNA is filed under the name uncultured bacterium. RNAcentral describes it as "partial 16S ribosomal RNA". It matches the Rfam family "Bacterial small subunit ribosomal RNA", at positions 28 to 507 of the family's 1533-position model. The record is from RNAcentral.